UGGGAUAUGCAUGAGGAGAUGAUUAAAAAUUCAGAGGAAUUCUUUCAGCAGGUACGUCUAAUUUUCUCGUCCAUUUUCUGGUAUAUUGCCCUUUUGUUAGAAGCAUCUUUGAAGCCUUGAACCUGCUUAAACAAUCUAGCCCAAUCAGGUUAUCACAUUUAGCCCAUCUGUUUCUGAUAUAUAUGUUUUAAUUGUUCAGUAAAAUAGCUACUUUGACAUCAAAAUUGUUUGCUUAAGUGACUCUUUCUGUUAAAUUCUGUAAAUUUUUGCUUAAAGAUAUAGUGGUAAUGAAUAAUUGAGUUGCAAAUUGAUCUGUCAACUGUAUAAUGAAGUCCUUCUGAAUAUUCGAGUCCUAGAGUACCAUAAUUGUUGUUCGGUAUAGUAUUUUUUCAAGUACAGACCUACUUGUGCACAACUUGACUAACAACAAGUAAGAAUUCACCUUUUGUCACCCCUAGUGCUUUGGUCUAGUCUCAAAGUUGGCUUGACAUAGCUCUUUUCUUUUUCACAGCUAAAGCUUCCUUACCAAAUUGUGGCUAUUGUUUCUGGCGCACUGAAUGACGCAGCAGCAAAGAAGUAUGAUUUAGAAGGAUGGUACCCUGCAUCAUCAACUUAUAGAGAGCUUGUGUCCUGCUCAAACUGCACAGAUUACCAGUCGAGAAAAUUGGAAAUUCGGUUUGGACAGAAGGUAUUUUGACUUGCCCCCUUCAUUCAUUGCAAUUCAGCUUCCGUUCCAAAUGUUUACGAUAUUUAGCAUCUGAACUACUCUUAACAUAAUUUUUUCUCCUUAGGUUAAUGAGCAAACUAAGCAGUACGUGCAUUUAUUGAACUCAACCCUUACAGCGACAGAAAGGACUAUGUGUUGUAUACUUGAAAACUACCAGACGGAGGACGGAGUUGAAAUUCCUGAAGUUCUACAGCCAUACAUGGGUGGGAAGACAUUCAUGCCUUUCCAGGACCCUCCGGUAAAAGAAGUGAAAGGAAAGAAGUGAAAGGAAAUUGAGUUGAACAUAGACAUUCAUUUAGUUCUUGAUUAAUUACUGAUCUAUACUAUCCAGUUUUCUAGUGUUAUGUGCACUAGAUUGUUUUCCCAUCUUAAUAAUAUUAAUACACAUUCUUCAACAUGUUACUGUUCUUGUCGGGAUCAACUCAUUAUUCUCGUUUUUUCACCAGAGUCAUCCCUCCUUUCUUUGGUACAACAAUGAUUGGACUAAUUCAACUACUGUUAGAAUAGGAAAGAUUAUUCCUGCAUCUAAAAGCUUGAGCACUUUCUUUUGCACAACUUCUUUGGUACCACUAGUUUACUAGUUUCCUCCAGCAGGAUCGAUUCCUAGAAUAUCGACUAUUGUCCAUCUAGAGACAAUAUCUCAGAUGGUCACUCAAUUAUGAACUAUUUUCUUAGAAAGUCACUUAACUUUGAUUUUUAACUCAAAAGUCACUGACAUGUGGAUCUUCAUUCUCUAUAGUACUCGGUUCGAGUGAUGCAUCUGUCCAAUGAGUCCUCUGGUAACUAGAAUGCAUAGAUGUGUAAUAGCUACAUAAUAUAUGCAAAAUUUUCUGCAAUUUUUAACACUUUAUAUGGUGCUGCUCCAUUUAAUCAGAAUGUGAAAUAAUUGUUGGAUUCAGUUAUCUUAGUUUUCAGAACUAUGUGAUUUCAAUGAAAAGGGAAAAGGGUAUAAUAUACUCCUUUAACUUUGUUAAUUUUACCUAUCUGGGGUAUGGAAGCUUCUCUCUGGGCGCACGUUAACUGAACUGCGCUUCCAUGGGGAGGAGGGAGCGUAUCCCAUCCCAGAAGGCUCUAAUGGCUCAUGAAUCACAGGCAGCAGCUCAAAGAGGAAGGAAAUCAACUCAGGUGGUAGCUGAAGGAACUUCUUCAGCAGUGCAAGCAGCAAGAUCUAAUGAAACAGUGAAAUUGGGGAACGGAGGAUCAAAGAUAGGGCAAGGGGACAUUGUUGUUGGAGAAUCAGCUGAUUCACCAAUCGAAACCCAAACUAUUGGGUGGAAAACAAUUGAGCGAGGUCUAGUUAAGGAAACGCAGAGAGUAGCAAAACAAAUUUGGGAGGAGAUUGGGGAAGCACAGCAAAGGCUGGACCAAGCAGAUUCAGCAAGUAGCGGGAAGAAAUCAUGGGCAGAUCAAGUAGAGGA
This 2145-nucleotide long non-coding RNA is filed under the name Solanum tuberosum (potato). Its description in RNAcentral is "long non-coding RNA (STUB_LNC005456)". The record is from RNAcentral. Lineage: Eukaryota; Viridiplantae; Streptophyta; Magnoliopsida; Solanales; Solanaceae.